GGGUCAGUAGGUUGGUCGUGCCACCGGUACGUACUGGUCUCACUGAUUCCUCCUUCCUGAAGAACCGUAAUGCCAUUAAUUUGGCGUUGCGGGGAAACAGGACUGUUACUUUGAAAAAAUUAGGGUGUUUAAAGCAAGCUAACGCUUGAAUACAUUAGCAUGGAAUAAUGAAAUAGGACGAUCGAUCCUAUUUUGUUGGUUUCUAGGAUUGACGUA
Molecule: ribosomal RNA, 216 nt
Filed under: Glomeromycotina sp.
Lineage: Eukaryota; Fungi; Glomeromycota
Description: partial small subunit ribosomal RNA
Rfam family: Eukaryotic small subunit ribosomal RNA (bases 40-216)
Source: RNAcentral